UGGGGAAUAUUGGACAAUGGGCGCAAGCCUGAUCCAGCCAUGCCGCGUGAACGAUGAAGGCCUUAGGGUUGUAAAGUUCUUUUGUCAGGGAAGAUAAUGACGGUACCUGAAGAAUAAGCACCGGCUAACUUCGUGCCAGCAGCCGCGGUAAUACGAAGGGUGCUAGCGUUGUUCGGAAUCACUGGGCGUAAAGCGCGCGUAGGCGGCUUAACAAGUCAGAGGUGAAAGCCUGGAGCUCAACUCCAGAACUGCCUUUGAAGCUGUUAAGCUUGAGUGUCGGAGGGGAUAGCGGAAUUUCUAAUGUAGAGGUGAAAUUCGUAGAUAUUAGAAGGAACACCGGUGGCGAAGGCGGCUAUCUGGACGACAACUGACGCUGAGGCGCGAAAGCGUGGGGAUCAAACAGGAUUAGAUACCCAAGUAGUCCCUGAGCGGGCUGGCAAGGCGCAU
RNAcentral lists this ribosomal RNA (447 nucleotides) under uncultured bacterium. Its description in RNAcentral is "bacterial SSU rRNA". It matches the Rfam family "Bacterial small subunit ribosomal RNA", at positions 355 to 825 of the family's 1533-position model. The record is from RNAcentral.